This 87-nucleotide ribosomal RNA is filed under the name Viola labradorica. RNAcentral's name for it is "partial 5.8S ribosomal RNA". It matches the Rfam family "5.8S ribosomal RNA", at positions 73 to 154 of the family's 154-position model. Rfam says of the family: 5.8S ribosomal RNA (5.8S rRNA) is a component of the large subunit of the eukaryotic ribosome. It is transcribed by RNA polymerase I as part of the 45S precursor that also contains 18S and 28S rRNA. Functionally, it is thought that 5.8S rRNA may be involved in ribosome translocation. Lineage: Eukaryota; Viridiplantae; Streptophyta; Magnoliopsida; Malpighiales; Violaceae. The record is from RNAcentral.
UGCAGAAUCCCGUGAAUCAUCGAGUCUUUGAACGCAAGUUGCGCCCGAAGCCUUCUGGCCGAGGGCACGUCUGCCUGGGUGUCACGC